GAUGAACGCUGGCGGCGUGCUUAACACAUGCAAGUCGAACGAAGCAUUUGCGACAGAUUUUUUCGGAAUGAAGUUGCUUAUGACUGAGUGGCGGACGGGUGAGUAACGCGUGGGUAACCUGCCUUGUACUGGGGGAUAGCAGCUGGAAACGGCUGGUAAUACCGCAUAAGCGCACAAUGUUGCAUGACAUGGUGUGAAAAACUCCGGUGGUAUAAGAUGGACCCGCGUCUGAUUAGCUAGUUGGUGAGAUAACAGCCCACCAAGGCGACGAUCAGUAGCCGACCUGAGAGGGUGACCAGCCACAUUGGGACUGAGACACGGCCCAGACUCCUACGGGAGGCAGCAGUGGGGAAUAUUGCACAAUGGAGGAAACUCUGAUGCAGCGACGCCGCGUGAGUGAAGAAGUAAUUCGUUAUGUAAAGCUCUAUCAGCAGGGAAGAUAGUGACGGUACCCGACUAAGAAGCUCCGGCUAAAUACGUG
This 481-nucleotide ribosomal RNA is filed under the name uncultured bacterium. RNAcentral's name for it is "partial 16S ribosomal RNA". It matches the Rfam family "Bacterial small subunit ribosomal RNA", at positions 28 to 507 of the family's 1533-position model. The record is from RNAcentral.